UACGUAGGCAGCGAGCGUUGUUCGGAGUUACUGGGCGUAAAGAGUGCGUAGGCGGUUUUCUAAGUUUGGUGUGAAAUCUCCCGGCUUAACUGGGAGGGUGCGCCGAAGACUGGAAGGCUUGAGUAUGGGAGAGGUAAGCGGAAUCCCUGGUGUAGCGGUGAAAUGCGUAGAUAUCAGGAGGAACACCGAUGGCGAAGGCAGGUCUCUGGGCCGAUACUGACGCUGAGGAGCGAAAGCGUGGGGAGCGAACAGG
Molecule: ribosomal RNA, 253 nt
Filed under: uncultured bacterium
Lineage: Bacteria
Description: partial 16S ribosomal RNA
Rfam family: Bacterial small subunit ribosomal RNA
Source: RNAcentral